GCCGGCUUAUUAUUUUGUGAAGACAGAAUAGACAGUUAACACACAAUUACAUAAAACAUUCAACAUCACACAUUUAAGGAAAACAAGAUAUUUUCUUCCCCUUUUUUAGUUCAGUAAUUUCUGUUAAUUUAUCCUAUUUAUCUCAAAACCUUUUAUUUGGCUUUAAAAGGAUGUUAUUUUAUUUAUUCCAAAUCCUAAGUUCAAGUUUAUCCUUUAAUCUAUUUGAAUUAACACUGUGUUAUUUUAAAUCAAGUUUUAGUUCUUUAGGCCCAAGAUUUAAUUUAAUCUUGGUCUAGGUUCACCUUUAAAUUUCAACCAGUUCUUAUUUUGUUUUAACCCAACAAAAUUAUUUACAUUUCCAUUAACACCAUUACAGCAUUAAAAUGUAAGGUUGACCAAAAUAAAUUACAAAAAAACAUGUAAAAACUGAAAACAAUUCAGCAAAAGGCUGAACAAAUCCCUUAAACAAACAAAUAAACAAAAGAAAAUUGUCUCUGUGUCCUUUAACUAUAAAUCCUGGAAUUGCUCUGAAUGAUUGUCCAGUGCUUUGAAAGUCCACUGUUCUUUUGCAGAGGUGUAUGGAUUAGUCCUACCAGUUUCUUUUAGCGAAAGAACUCAACAUCCAGCAGGGGCGGUUUUCCCUUUUCCUGCUCGGUACAGUUCAAUGGGUCCGUGGGUGGCUCGCCAUCUUGUUUCUCGCUCAGCGGAUCAAACUCCGAUUCUAGCUUGGCAUUUCCCGAUCCAAACCUUAAUGGCCUACCAUAACAACAAAACAAAGUGCAUAAACAUUUGAAAAUAACACACAGGUAGCCCUUAAAUAACAGUAAAAGUCCGUUUUUUCCAGCUCAUUUAGCCAAAAUGAGGUGACGCCAACAUGGCGCGCUGAAACACCGUCAAAGGCCUUUGAACUGCAGCCUGUGUCGGUUAAGCACCAAUCCACCGUUUUUUAACAUAAAACUGCAUAAAUCUGCUACCUUGACUUUCCAUUUGCAUGAAAUGAGCAAUAUAAUACAACAAAACAUUUCUUGUAUGAAAUAAAAUACAAUUUCUGAACUCACCAAGUCCCGUUCGGUUACGUUCACAACGUCACCAAGGCAAGGACAGCUCGGAAAAACAAAAAUAUAUUCUCCAAAGUACAAAGAUUGCUUUAUGUAGACUUCUGGCUUGGUUUUUAAUAUUUUUUCCACUCGUUUAGGCAGCAGCUCCGCAAGGACUUUUUGCAUUUCUCCCUCUCCAGCAUCAAAAAGAAGGAACAACCCGAUUGGGUGUGGCUGAUCACAGGAGUCACGCUGCAGCGUGCCCUUUCGAGUCUGAACACAUAUUUUAGCCAUUUUACCUGAAUUAACAUAAAACACCAUGAAUUCGCUAGUUUUUGAACCAUUUUAACAUAUUUUUAAACACAAAUGAAAUCCUAUACCAUGAAUUAUAUCAUUGCUGAUGUUUUUAAUGAAUUUUCUAACCAUUAUGAUCUAUUUAUUGACUAUUUAUCACCUGUAAUAUAUGUCUUAUGCCUGUUUUUACUAACAGGCUUUUAUUUAUUGACAGCUAUGUUAACCAGGGUUACACUAACACUUACUUUAACCAGAGUUUUCUUUGAACAAGG
Molecule: long non-coding RNA, 1603 nt
Organism: Oreochromis aureus
Lineage: Eukaryota; Metazoa; Chordata; Actinopteri; Cichliformes; Cichlidae
Source: Ensembl